UGAGCAAGAGUUUAGAGUUUUCAACUCAUUUUUUCGCCACCUGAAGCGAACGCAUCCUCUGUAUGUUACAUCUGGAUGUCCACCAAUUGGAUGGAGAGCGACACCCACAUCACCAGCUCUAUUAGAAAACUUCGGUGUAUCGAUAUUUGCCGAUUCUGCGACUCCUUCCUUGGACAACUCUGUGGAAUCAUCAUUACCUGACCGUCCUCUCGAACUUGGAACACAGGAACCACCAGAGCUGCCUGAGGACCAAUCAUGCAAUGCAGAAGAAGCUGCAGUUCCAACCAGUUCUGUAACCAGGCCUGACAUUGCCAGAUCUGCAGCAGCUUUUGCACUAAGUGUUCGGGAACAAUGCCACUUAUCACAGAGGACCGUCAACAACAUUGUUGCGGGGGUGCAGCAAUACCAAGCC
Molecule: long non-coding RNA, 412 nt
Organism: Clupea harengus (Atlantic herring)
Lineage: Eukaryota; Metazoa; Chordata; Actinopteri; Clupeiformes; Clupeidae
Source: Ensembl